This 69-nucleotide transfer RNA is filed under the name Xyloredo nooi. RNAcentral's name for it is "tRNA-Asp". It matches the Rfam family "tRNA". From Rfam's summary of the family: Transfer RNA (tRNA) molecules are approximately 80 nucleotides in length. The record is from RNAcentral. Lineage: Eukaryota; Metazoa; Mollusca; Bivalvia; Myida; Pholadidae.
AGGGAAGUAGUUAAAGAUAAUAAUGCGUGGUUGUCAGCCUCAAGAUGUCGGUUUAUCCGACCUUUCUUA